Molecule: ribosomal RNA, 521 nt
Filed under: uncultured bacterium
Lineage: Bacteria
Description: bacterial SSU rRNA
Rfam family: Bacterial small subunit ribosomal RNA
Source: RNAcentral
GACGAAAGUCUGACGGAGCAACGCCGCGUGAGUGAUGAAGGUUUUCGGAUCGUAAAACUCUGUUGUUAGGGAAGAACAAGUACCGUUCGAAUAGGGCGGUACCUUGACGGUACCUAACCAGAAAGCCACGGCUAACUACGUGCCAGCAGCCGCGGUAAUACGUAGGUGGCAAGCGUUGUCCGGAAUCAUUGGGCGUAAAGCGCGCGCAGGUGGUUCCUUAAGUCUGAUGUGAAAGCCCCCGGCUCAACCGGGGAGGGUCAUUGGAAACUGGGGAACUUGAGUGCAGAAGAGGAAAGUGGAAUUCCACGUGUAGCGGUGAAAUGCGUAGAGAUGUGGAGGAACACCAGUGGCGAAGGCGACUUUCUGGUCUGUAACUGACACUGAGGCGCGAAAGCGUGGGGAGCGAACAGGAUUAGAUACCCUGGUAGUCCACGCCGUAAACGAUGAGUGCUAAGUGUUAGGGGGUUUCCGCCCCUUAGUGCUGCAGCAAACGCAUUAAGCACUCCGCCUGGGGAGUACGG